This 469-nucleotide ribosomal RNA is filed under the name uncultured bacterium. Its description in RNAcentral is "partial 16S ribosomal RNA". It matches the Rfam family "Bacterial small subunit ribosomal RNA", at positions 28 to 507 of the family's 1533-position model. The record is from RNAcentral.
GACGAACGCUGGCGGCGUGCUUAACACAUGCAAGUCGAACGGAAAGGCCCUGCUUGCAGGGUGCUCGAGUGGCGAACGGGUGAGUAACACGUGGGUGAUCUGCCCCUUAUUUUGGGAUAAGCCUGGGAAACUGGGUCUAAUACUGGAUAGGACCAUGCUGUAGGUGGUGUGGUGGAAAGAUUAGUUUCGGUAAGGGAUGAGCUCGUGGCCUAUCAGCUUGUUGGUGGGGUAAUGGCCUACCAAGGCGUCGACGGGUAGCCGGCCUGAGAGGGUGGACGGCCACAUUGGGACUGAGAUACGGCCCAGACUCCUACGGGAGGCAGCAGUGGGGAAUAUUGCACAAUGGGCGCAAGCCUGAUGCAGCGACGCCGCGUGGGGGAUGACGGCCUUCGGGUUGUAAACUCCUUUCAGCCAUGACGAAGCCCUUGUGGUGACGGUAGUGGUAGAAGAAGCACCGGCUAACUACGUG